RNAcentral lists this ribosomal RNA (926 nucleotides) under Escherichia coli. RNAcentral's name for it is "partial 23S ribosomal RNA". It matches the Rfam family "Bacterial large subunit ribosomal RNA", at positions 1 to 969 of the family's 2925-position model. Lineage: Bacteria; Pseudomonadati; Pseudomonadota; Gammaproteobacteria; Enterobacterales; Enterobacteriaceae. The record is from RNAcentral.
GGUUAAGCGACUAAGCGUACACGGUGGAUGCCCUGGCAGUCAGAGGCGAUGAAGGACGUGCUAAUCUGCGAUAAGCGUCGGUAAGGUGAUAUGAACCGUUAUAACCGGCGAUUUCCGAAUGGGGAAACCCAGUGUGAUUCGUCACACUAUCAUUAACUGAAUCCAUAGGUUAAUGAGGCGAACCGGGGGAACUGAAACAUCUAAGUACCCCGAGGAAAAGAAAUCAACCGAGAUUCCCCCAGUAGCGGCGAGCGAACGGGGAGCAGCCCAGAGCCUGAAUCAGUGUGUGUGUUAGUGGAAGCGUCUGGAAAGGCGCGCGAUACAGGGUGACAGCCCCGUACACAAAAAUGCACAUACUGUGAGCUCGAUGAGUAGGGCGGGACACGUGGUAUCCUGUCUGAAUAUGGGGGGACCAUCCUCCAAGGCUAAAUACUCCUGACUGACCGAUAGUGAACCAGUACCGUGAGGGAAAGGCGAAAAGAACCCCGGCGAGGGGAGUGAAAAAGAACCUGAAACCGUGUACGUACAAGCAGUGGGAGCCUCUUUAUGGGGUGACUGCGUACCUUUUGUAUAAUGGGUCAGCGACUUAUAUUCUGUAGCAAGGUUAACCGAAUAGGGGAGCCGAAGGGAAACCGAGUCUUAACUGGGCGUUAAGUUGCAGGGUAUAGACCCGAAACCCGGUGAUCUAGCCAUGGGCAGGUUGAAGGUUGGGUAACACUAACUGGAGGACCGAACCGACUAAUGUUGAAAAAUUAGCGGAUGACUUGUGGCUGGGGGUGAAAGGCCAAUCAAACCGGGAGAUAGCUGGUUCUCCCCGAAAGCUAUUUAGGUAGCGCCUCGUGAAUUCAUCUCCGGGGGUAGAGCACUGUUUCGGCAAGGGGGUCAUCCCGACUUACCAACCCGAUGCAAACUGCGAAUACCGGAGA